GGGCGGUUAGCUCAGGUGGUUAGAGCGCGACACUGAUAAUGUCGAGGUCGGAGGUUCAAGUCCUCCACCGCCCACCA
This 77-nucleotide transfer RNA is filed under the name Candidatus Peregrinibacteria bacterium. RNAcentral describes it as "tRNA-Ile". It matches the Rfam family "tRNA". Rfam says of the family: Transfer RNA (tRNA) molecules are approximately 80 nucleotides in length. Their secondary structure includes four short double-helical elements and three loops (D, anti-codon, and T loops). The record is from RNAcentral. Lineage: Bacteria; Candidatus Peregrinibacteriota.